AAAAAGCUCGUAGUUGAAUUUCGGGAUCAAUAUGUCGGUCGUGCCUUCGGUACGUACUGGUAUCAUUGGUUUCUCCCUUCUGACAAAUCAUGAUGUCAUUAAUUUGGUGUUAUGGGGAGUUAGGACUGUUACUUUGAAAAAAUUAGAGUGUUUAAAGCAGGCAUUAGCUUGAAUACAUUAGCAUGGAAUAAUGAAAUAGGACGUUUGAUCCUAUUUUGUUGGUUUCUAGGAUUGACGUAAUGAUUAAUAGGGAUAGUUGGGGGCAUUAGUAUUCAAUUGCCAGAGGUGAAAUUCUUGGAUUUAUUGAAGACUAACUACUGCGAAAGCAUUUGCCAAGGAUGUUUUCAUUAAUCAAGAACGAAAGUUAGGGGAUCGAAGACGAUCAGAUACCGUCGUAGUCUUAACCAUAAACUAUGCCGACUAGGGAUCGGAUGAUGUUAAUUUUUUAAUGACUCAUUCGGCGC
This 464-nucleotide ribosomal RNA is filed under the name uncultured Glomus. RNAcentral's name for it is "SSU rRNA". It matches the Rfam family "Eukaryotic small subunit ribosomal RNA", at positions 621 to 1086 of the family's 1831-position model. The record is from RNAcentral. Lineage: Eukaryota; Fungi; Glomeromycota; Glomeromycetes; Glomerales; Glomeraceae.